UACGGAGGGUGCGAGCGUUGUCCGGAAUCAUUGGGCGUAAAGGGCGCGUAGGUGGCCACUUCAAGCGUGCGGUGAAAGUCGGGGGCUCAACCCCUGAUCGGCCGUGCGAACUGGGGGGCUGGAGCACUGUAGAGGCAGGCGGAAUUCCGGGUGUAGCGGUGGAAUGCGUAGAGAUCCGGAAGAACACCGGUGGCGAAGGCGGCCUGCUGGGCAGUUUUGCUGACACUGAGGCGCGGACAGCGUGGGGAGCAAACAGG
Molecule: ribosomal RNA, 257 nt
Filed under: uncultured bacterium
Lineage: Bacteria
Description: partial 16S ribosomal RNA
Rfam family: Bacterial small subunit ribosomal RNA
Source: RNAcentral